Molecule: transfer RNA, 73 nt
Filed under: Candidatus Melainabacteria bacterium
Lineage: Bacteria; Bacillati; Candidatus Melainabacteria
Description: tRNA-His
Rfam family: tRNA
About the family: Transfer RNA (tRNA) molecules are approximately 80 nucleotides in length. Their secondary structure includes four short double-helical elements and three loops (D, anti-codon, and T loops).
Source: RNAcentral
GCAGUUGUCGCCAAGUGGUUAAGGCCCCGGGUUGUGGUCCCGGUAUUCGCGGGUUCGACUCCCGUCAGCUGCC